UACACAAUUCUUGCAAUUUUGAGCUAAGACCUUAUCAAAUUGCUCAAGAUAUAGCUCAAGAGACAUUCACUAAUAAAUCGGGUUACUUACUACCCUUAGAUUGCAUGUGCUGACUUCAAAAUCCAAUAACUCCUUUAGAUUAACUUGGAAUCCAGUAAGCAAUAUGUGAAAAGUGUAGCCGAAAAAGUGUUCUCUCUAAUCAUGGUCACCGAUCCUCAAUUGCUAUCCGUACGCCUGCGGUAUGCCAAAAAGAGUGACA
This 259-nucleotide long non-coding RNA is filed under the name Physcomitrium patens. Its description in RNAcentral is "long non-coding RNA (PPAT_LNC012738)". The record is from RNAcentral. Lineage: Eukaryota; Viridiplantae; Streptophyta; Bryopsida; Funariales; Funariaceae.